Molecule: microRNA precursor, 80 nt
Filed under: Bombyx mori (domestic silkworm)
Lineage: Eukaryota; Metazoa; Arthropoda; Insecta; Lepidoptera; Bombycidae
Description: mir-2807 microRNA precursor family
Rfam family: mir-2807 microRNA precursor family
Source: Rfam by way of RNAcentral
UGGCGUAAAGUAUGGAGUUGGAACGUUUGCCUACGUUUGCCGCUAAGGGCGCUAUUCCAACUGCAUACAAAUUUGAGUUA